RNAcentral lists this ribosomal RNA (557 nucleotides) under uncultured bacterium. RNAcentral's name for it is "bacterial SSU rRNA". It matches the Rfam family "Bacterial small subunit ribosomal RNA", at positions 102 to 694 of the family's 1533-position model. The record is from RNAcentral.
ACGGGUGAGUAACGCGUGGGAAUCUACCCAUCUCUACGGAAUAACGCAUGGAAACGUGUGCUAAUACCGUAUACGUCCUUCGGGAGAAAGAUUUAUCGGAGAUGGAUGAGCCCGCGUUGGAUUAGCUAGUUGGUGGGGUAAAGGCCUACCAAGGCGACGAUCCAGAGCUGGUCUGAGAGGAUGAUCAGCCACACUGGGACUGAGACACGGCCCAGACUCCUACGGGAGGCAGCAGUGGGGAAUAUUGGACAAUGGGCGCAAGCCUGAUCCAGCCAUGCCGCGUGAGUGAUGAAGGCCCUAGGGUUGUAAAGCUCUUUCACCGGUGAAGAUAAUGACGGUAACCGGAGAAGAAGCCCCGGCUAACUUCGUGCCAGCAGCCGCGGUAAUACGAAGGGGGCUAGCGCUGUUCGGAUUUACUGGGCGUAAAGCGCACGUAGGCGGACUAUUAAGUCAGGGGUGAAAUCCCGGGGCUCAACCCCGGAACUGCCUUUGAUACUGGUAGUCUUGAGUUCGAGAGAGGUGAGUGGAAUUCCGAGUGUAGAGGUGAAAUUCGUAGA